RNAcentral lists this long non-coding RNA (828 nucleotides) under Monodelphis domestica (gray short-tailed opossum). Its description in RNAcentral is "lncRNA (ENSMODG00000031154.2)". The record is from RNAcentral. Lineage: Eukaryota; Metazoa; Chordata; Mammalia; Didelphimorphia; Didelphidae.
CUUCAAAGUACUUACCUUGGUAUUCUAUGUACCAUAGUGCUACCAUUGCUAGAUGAACUUUUGCAAUUUCUUUCUAUGUGAGGCAGUUUACAAAGUAUAAAAGAAAAUCAAUUACCACUUAGUAAUAUUUCAUUUUUGACCAAAUACAAUAUUACCUUAUUUCCUGAGUUGAGCCUUAAACUUAUUCACUAACUCUAAAUCCAAAUCACUUUUGGGUAUUUCUAAAAAUCAAAUGAACCUACCAUGAAAAGAAGUUUGUCACCAUUGUGAAGCCUACUUUUCUCUGAACUAACACUGUCCUCUCCUACCUUUUUGUCCUUGGAGAUUCCUGGAGAGGAAUUGUAUUUCUCAAUCUCAUCUUUUCUCAGAAAAGGACCCAACUCAUUGACCAUCUCUACCCUGAAACCCGAACUGAUUUCUUUAGUCAGACAUUUUCCUACUUUUUGAAUUCCUCAGACUAGUCCAUUAUAUGGAUAUAAUAAUUUUCUACUUUUCAUUAUUCUUAUUUGUAGAAGCGGUGUGAUAUCAUGGACAGAGAACUAGUCUUGGGGGUAGGAAGAUCUGAGUUCAAAUCCAGACUCUGACAUAUACUGACUGUGUGAUCUUAGGAGUCAUAUAUUUUGGAGUUUCCUGUAUUCAGUAAGGUGUCACACAUAGAAUGGAGAAUCUUGAGAAGUUUAUCCAUUUUAAAGGAUUCAUCUUCAAAUUAGACUCUGUAUUGGAUGUCUUCUAUGACAGUGAUGAAUAUAUUUGGAGAAUAGAACAAAAGUACCUGACAGGAAAUUGAAAACCAAGAAUAAAGAACCCUUACAGGAGAAUAUAAGCUCA